GUGGAAUUCCAACAAGCUGACCACAUAGUGGAAAAGAACGCAUAGCAACUUACUCCAACAACUCGUAGUUUAGCACAGAAUGGACCCUAAAAAAAGACAUUAGAAGACCAGAUGAUACUAGUCACUUAGGAGGAAAACAACAAGUAGAGAAAUGACUCAGAGGGUAGUAGUACUUGGAGCAUGAGUUAUCCAGGUAUAUGUAUUUCCCUGGUUAGUUGGAAUCCCACUCCUAAUGGUGGGAUGGGAUUUCAUGGAAAAGGGUAAAAUAUUAAAUGCUAACUAUGGCUACUCCAAUAUGCAUUUCAAGACAGAGCUUGGUAAUUUUAAUACAACAGACUGGAAAAUGAAAUAUACCUCCCUUCUCUUGACAAAGAGGAGUCAAGAAAAGGAAAAUAAAACAUCUCAGAAGAUCAGAGAUGAAUAAAAUGUUUUUCAUAUACAUGUGCAAUAAUAUUCAAAAUCAGGACCUGGAGGAGAUUGACAUUUAUCCAUUCCAGUACACAGG
This 505-nucleotide long non-coding RNA is filed under the name Phascolarctos cinereus (koala). RNAcentral's name for it is "lncRNA (ENSPCIG00000036164.1)". The record is from RNAcentral. Lineage: Eukaryota; Metazoa; Chordata; Mammalia; Diprotodontia; Phascolarctidae.